UGGACCUGGCUACCUGCUGCAUGGCUGAAGUGAGCUGCCUUCAACCUGUGUGAAACAGACCAGUUAGGUCAAGAGUGGGCCAACCUGUGGCAGAAGCCUGGAUGGAUGGGGAUACUGGAUGCUCCUGAAAGAAAGAAACAAGAAGAACAAAAAGGCAAAAGAGGGAGAGCAGCUCCAUCUAUUGGAAUCAGAGGAGAGCAGCACACACAGGGAGGGUGGUGCUGUCGAUGGGGAACGGGCCAUGGGCGACGGCCAGCCACACACCUGAACCUGGUGGAGGUUGAGGCCCGAGGGAACCUCAGUUCUCAGCUUGCAGAUCCAGAGUCCCUCGUUUCUUCUGCGCUGGCCGACCGUCCAAGACGCGCAUGUCUGCAGACCCGAGAUGGAGAGGUGCUGGGGAGAGUGCACCUGGAAGUGUUUGA
This is a long non-coding RNA of Acanthopagrus latus (yellowfin seabream), 422 nucleotides long. RefSeq lists it as uncharacterized. The transcript is spliced from 3 exons. The record is from RefSeq and is a predicted model, not a curated record. Lineage: Eukaryota; Metazoa; Chordata; Actinopteri; Spariformes; Sparidae.